ACAGGUAUUGGACGCGAUUCUACGUGCACAUCGCCUAAAUAGCCUAAAAUUAAAAUGUCUAAGUUUUAAUCAUAUUUUAGACGGCGGAUUUAACAAGUGCUAUUCCAGAACGUCAAGCUGACUAAAUUUAGCCAGAUUUUAGACGGAUUCUAAAAUUUCUAAGUUGAAUUGAGUGUGUUGCCACUUUAAAAAAAUAAGUGAACGAAUGAAUGAAUGAUAUCUGUAUAAAAACUGUAAAAUCGUAUUUUCUUUUGGGUGAAAUAUGAUAAUUUAAUGAAUUUUAUUCCAUUACAUAUAUUUAACACUAGUGUACACACCUUAGACCACUAAAACGUUACUUUUUAAUUAUGUAAUUAAAAAUAAUUAAUCAAAUUUUAAUAGGCAACAUUUAAAAAAAUCUGCUGUCAAGUACGAAGAAGUUUGUAAACUUGUUUGUAUUCCAAUUUGUUUGGUUUUGUUUGUGGAAAACGUGGAAAAUGUCGGUGUCGCGAAAGCGGAGCAAUAAAACGCAACAGGAGGUGCUCGUAGAGCAUCUCCAUGCUAACUUGAUGUUAGCAAGAGGAAAUACGGCUAGCCCUAAAGUGGCAGCAUUUUAGGCGGCCCUAACUGUUACUCUUAAUAGUCACGGAUGUCGAAGGACAGUGGCGGAGUGGCAGAGUAUUUGGUCGCAGUGGACACAGAAGGUCAAAUCUAAGUACAGAAAAUACAGAGAUCAAACGGAGGGCACUGGUGGAGGUCCUGCAUUAGUCCGCCCACUGACAGACACAGAACUUAAGGU
Molecule: long non-coding RNA, 778 nt
Organism: Cydia fagiglandana
Lineage: Eukaryota; Metazoa; Arthropoda; Insecta; Lepidoptera; Tortricidae
Exons: 3
Source: RefSeq, a predicted model, not a curated record